This 202-nucleotide ribosomal RNA is filed under the name uncultured bacterium. RNAcentral describes it as "partial 16S ribosomal RNA". It matches the Rfam family "Bacterial small subunit ribosomal RNA", at positions 28 to 229 of the family's 1533-position model. The record is from RNAcentral.
GACGAACGCUGGCGGCGUGCUUAACACAUGCAAGUCGAGCGGUAAGGCCCUUUCGGGGGUACACGAGCGGCGAACGGGUGAGUAACACGUGGGUGACCUGCCCUCAGCUCUGGGAUAAGCCGUGGGAAACCGGGUCUAAUACCGGAUAUGACUCCAUGACGCAUGUUGUGGGGUAGGAAAGCCUUGUGCGGCUGAGGAUGGG